Molecule: transfer RNA, 72 nt
Filed under: Candidatus Woesearchaeota archaeon
Lineage: Archaea; Nanobdellati; Candidatus Woesearchaeota
Description: tRNA-His
Rfam family: tRNA
About the family: Transfer RNA (tRNA) molecules are approximately 80 nucleotides in length.
Source: RNAcentral
GCCGCAGUAAUGUCAAUGGUAACAUCGGAGACUGUGGAUCUUCUGUUGCGGGUUCAAUUCCCGCCUGCGGCC